This is a non-coding RNA of Pangasianodon gigas (Mekong giant catfish), 73 nucleotides long. NCBI's taxonomy places the organism in Eukaryota, Metazoa, Chordata, Actinopteri, Siluriformes, Pangasiidae. The record is from the annotation of a GenBank genome assembly.
UGACGUGAAUGUUUUCAUUAUGUUAAUUUAUGUGUGUGUUCCGGAGAAUAGAAUAGAAGAGAAUAGAAUCUUU